CAGUGGCGAACGGGUGAGUAACACGUGGGCAAUCUGCCCUGCACUCUGGGACAAGCCUUGGAAACGAGGUCUAAUACCGGAUAUUACCCUUGACCGCAUGGUCUUGGGUGGAAAGCUCCGGCGGUGCAGGAUGAGCCCGCGGCCUAUCAGCUUGUUGGUGGGGUGAUGGCCUACCAAGGCGACGACGGGUAGCCGGCCUGAGAGGGCGACCGGCCACACUGGGACUGAGACACGGCCCAGACUCCUACGGGAGGCAGCAGUGGGGAAUAUUGCACAAUGGGCGAAAGCCUGAUGCAGCGACGCCGCGUGAGGGAUGAAGGCCUUCGGGUUGUAAACCUCUUUCAGCAGGGAAGAAGCGCAAGUGACGGUACCUGCAGAAGAAGCACCGGCUAACUACGUGCCAGCAGCCGCGGUAAUACGUAGGGUGCGAGCGUUGUCCGGAAUUAUUGGGCGUAAAGAGCUCGUAGGCGGCUUGUCACGUCGGAUGUGAAAGCCCGGGGCUUAACCCCGGGUCUGCAUUCGAUACGGGCAGGCUAGAGUGUGGUAGGGGAGAUCGNAU
Molecule: ribosomal RNA, 559 nt
Filed under: Streptomyces sp. 384B01
Lineage: Bacteria; Bacillati; Actinomycetota; Actinomycetes; Kitasatosporales; Streptomycetaceae
Description: bacterial SSU rRNA
Rfam family: Bacterial small subunit ribosomal RNA
Source: RNAcentral